This 237-nucleotide ribosomal RNA is filed under the name uncultured bacterium. RNAcentral describes it as "partial 16S ribosomal RNA". It matches the Rfam family "Bacterial small subunit ribosomal RNA", at positions 1392 to 1500 of the family's 1533-position model. The record is from RNAcentral.
GCCCGUCACACCAUGGGAGAUGGAUAUGCCCGAAGUCAGUGACCUAACCCACAUCAGUGAGUUUGACCGCGUGGUUGCGAUGCGGAAGCAUCGCAACAUCAUAAAGAACACGUUGCCGUAGGGGCAGACAGUGCCGGAAGGCACGGGAUGCCGUGGAGGCAGGUCAAGCUUAGUGAUGGUGGGGAGGAGCUGCCGAAGGUGGAGCCAUUAACUGGGGUGAAGUCGUAACAAGGUAGC